Pelobates cultripes (western spadefoot toad) is the source of this 451-nucleotide non-coding RNA. The record is from the annotation of a GenBank genome assembly. NCBI's taxonomy places the organism in Eukaryota, Metazoa, Chordata, Amphibia, Anura, Pelobatidae.
CUCUUGCUGGGGAGUAGUACCGACUGUCCCCACUCCCUGUAGUUUGGGCACAGAGACCACGGUCCUAUCUGCACCGGUGGAGAGCGUUUUGUCUCCCCUUUGUGUGAUAAGCUGCUGCUGGGGAAGGGGAAUGAGGCUCUCCCCUCCUAGUAUAGGACACUGCCUCUGGGGAGAGGGGGAAACAGGCUCCCCUCCCUGACACUCUCUCUGCUGUUGAAGAGGGAGACCAACUGUCUCCCCUUUCCAUAAUUUGUCCUGUCGCUGGGGAUAGAGACCGACUGUCUCUGCUCCCUGCAGGAUACUUUGUCGCUGGGGAGGGAGGACGCUGCUCUCCGUUCCCUGUGAAACAAUGCCGCUGGGGAGCAGGACCGACUGUCCCUGCCCCCUGUAGCUCACCCUGCCGCUGGGGAGGGAGGACGCUGCUCUCCUCUCCCUUCAAGGUACACUGCCG